Molecule: transfer RNA, 59 nt
Filed under: Rickettsia endosymbiont of Bembidion lapponicum
Lineage: Bacteria; Pseudomonadati; Pseudomonadota; Alphaproteobacteria; Rickettsiales; Rickettsiaceae
Description: tRNA-Asp
Rfam family: tRNA
About the family: Transfer RNA (tRNA) molecules are approximately 80 nucleotides in length. Their secondary structure includes four short double-helical elements and three loops (D, anti-codon, and T loops).
Source: RNAcentral
AGCUCAGUUGGUUAGAGCGUCUGCCUGUCACGCAGAAAGUCGCGGGUUCGAGUCCCGUC